CAGCCGCCGCGGGAAUACGUAGGUGGCAAGCGUUGUCCGGAAUUAUUGGGCGCAAAGCGCGCGCAGGCGGAUCAGUCAGUCUGUCUUAAAAGUUCGGGGCUUAACCCCGUGAUGGGAUGGAAACUGCUGAUCUAGAGUAUCGGAGAGGAAAGUGGAAUUCCUAGUGUAGCGGUGAAAUGCGUAGAUAUUAGGAAGAACACCAGUGGCGAAGGCGACUUUCUGGACGAAAACUGACGCUGAGGCGCGAAAGCCAGGGGAGCGAACGGGAUUAGAUACCCCCGUAGUCCCUGGUCUCUUAUAC
Molecule: ribosomal RNA, 301 nt
Filed under: uncultured bacterium
Lineage: Bacteria
Description: partial 16S ribosomal RNA
Rfam family: Bacterial small subunit ribosomal RNA
Source: RNAcentral